CUUGUGACCAUAAACACAAAAAAUUCUCAGACAAAAUAUGUUCUCAAGAUUUAAGAAUUUCCUCAGCUGAGAAUUUCUCAAAAAUCGUAGACCAUAAACAGACUUGAGAAAAUUCUCACUUAAGAAAUUUCUUAACUCGUUAAGACGCGCUUUGACGCGCGCGUUGCUGUUUCCAAGGAUUCUUACCACUGGCUGUGGAACUCUUCAGAUUUUUAUGAAGAUUCAGUUUGAAAAAAAGAGAAGAAGCAGAAAUAAAAAAGAAGUACUACAACGUCAAGCAACGCAGCAAGGACAAACUUGAUCAAAUAAAGAGACCAAAAACUGGGGGAGGCAAACCCAUAGCUUUGACCACAGCAGAGGAUCUUUUUCUUCAGUCCAUGGAGGGAAGACCUCAGAUAGAGGGAAUCGCAUCCGGGAUUGAUA
Molecule: long non-coding RNA, 423 nt
Organism: Saccostrea cuccullata (small rock oyster)
Lineage: Eukaryota; Metazoa; Mollusca; Bivalvia; Ostreida; Ostreidae
Exons: 3
Source: RefSeq, a predicted model, not a curated record